Molecule: small nuclear RNA, 114 nt
Organism: Camellia sinensis
Lineage: Eukaryota; Viridiplantae; Streptophyta; Magnoliopsida; Ericales; Theaceae
Product: U5 spliceosomal RNA
Source: RefSeq, a predicted model, not a curated record
CAGCCAUGCGAUGAGUACAAAGCGAACUAUUCUUUUGCCUUUUACUAAAGAAUAUUGUGUACGCCAUAAUUAAGUGGCCUGUGCCAAUUUUUGGAGAGCCCUUUCCAAAGGUCU